Molecule: ribosomal RNA, 253 nt
Filed under: uncultured bacterium
Lineage: Bacteria
Description: partial 16S ribosomal RNA
Rfam family: Bacterial small subunit ribosomal RNA
Source: RNAcentral
UACAGAGGGGGCAAGCGUUAUUCGGAAUUAUUGGGCGUAAAGGGCGCGUAGGCGGUGCCAUAAGUGAGAUGUGUAAUCCCCGGGCUCAACCUGGGAACUGCAUCUCAGACUGUGGUGCUGGAGUGCUGGAGAGGGUGGUGGAAUUCCUCGUGUAGCGGUGAAAUGCGUAGAGAUGAGGAGGAACACCAGUGGCGAAGGCGGCCACCUGGACAGUAACUGACGCUGAGGCGCGAAAGUGUGGGUAGCAAACAGG